UCUGCCAAAGCAAAUAGACAAAUGUUCAAGGCAAGCACUCUCACAUCAAGAAUUUGAAACUGAGAAUAUCCUAGUGAUUACACUCAUGCUUAUUGCUUAGUUUGAUUGAGGUGAGAUAACCAAGUUACUUUCCUUCUCCAAAAGAAAUUUCAGGAAUCAAAUAGAGCAUAACUCCGUUUUAGGAUCCAAAUGGUAACACAAGCCUAAAUCAUAUAAUGGAAGAGUCAAAUAAUUGAUCCAAAAGUAGACAAGUCCCUUAACUUCAUAUAACUGCAGAGCCUACAACAGCCGCAAAGGUAUUUGGUGUGCUGAAACAUAGAUUUCAUAUGAACUUAACAGACACAUGACUAAUUGACCACCAAUCAAAGAUUUUAGUGCAUUAUUUUUAAAAGAAUUUUGAAUUAUUUAUAUAGGAUAUUUGGGAAACUUAUUUUCUUGGCAGGGUUAGGCUUUUCUAUUUGAUAAUUGUUAUUGUGCCUACACAAGUUUUCUUAUAGACUCUUUGACAUCUAAUUGUUGUUCAUUAAAAUCAUAAUAAAUACAGCGUCAGACAAUUGGUUCUUCUGCCACAUUCGUUUUCAUUUCUCAUUGCUUGUUCGACAUCAGAAAGAGUGAAGUCCAACAAUAACUUACUCAGGAGCAUGAUAACCAAAUGUUCCUAGAACACGAGUGGAAUGAAGACGUGCUGCCAUAUCAGGAGCUUGAUUUGACAAAUCAAAAUCUGCAAUCUUUGCAACAUCAUCAUCAAAAAUCAGAACAUUACUGGACUUAAUAUCUCGAUGAAUGAUAUGAGGAUCAGCCUUUUCAUGCAAGUA
RNAcentral lists this unclassified non-coding RNA (815 nucleotides) under Hevea brasiliensis (rubber tree). Lineage: Eukaryota; Viridiplantae; Streptophyta; Magnoliopsida; Malpighiales; Euphorbiaceae. The record is from RNAcentral.